UACGUAGGUGGCGAGCGUUGUCCGGAUUUACUGGGCGUAAAGAGCGCGCAGGCGGUCGUUCAAGUCGCGUGUGAAAGCCCCCGGCUCAACUGGGGAGGGUCACGCGAUACUGAUCGACUCGAAGGCAGGAGAGGGAAGUGGAAUUCCCGGUGUAGUGGUGAAAUGCGCAGAUAUCGGGAGGAACACCGGUGGCGAAGGCGGUUCUCUGGGCAGUAACUGACGCUGAGGAGCGAAAGCGUGGGGAGCGAACAGG
RNAcentral lists this ribosomal RNA (253 nucleotides) under uncultured bacterium. Its description in RNAcentral is "partial 16S ribosomal RNA". It matches the Rfam family "Bacterial small subunit ribosomal RNA", at positions 524 to 776 of the family's 1533-position model. The record is from RNAcentral.